This is a long non-coding RNA of Ailuropoda melanoleuca (giant panda), 1050 nucleotides long. RefSeq lists it as uncharacterized. Lineage: Eukaryota; Metazoa; Chordata; Mammalia; Carnivora; Ursidae. The record is from RefSeq and is a predicted model, not a curated record. The transcript has 4 exons.
GGGAGGCUGGAAGCGGGGUGGGGGGAGGGUUUGUUUGCUUUCGUUUCAGGACACACAAGGAACCCAGGGCUGAGGCGGAGGAUUUCUGCAGAAUUGGCGCCGGGGCUCCCGGGGCUCUGCGCCUCACGCGCUCACAGCCGGGCCAGGGGACGGAUGCCUGCUGGGGGCCGUGACCCUGCGGGACACUUCGUGUGCCUCACGCCCCCUCCAUUCUCAGCUCCUCGAGGACGGCGCCAGCAGGAAAGGUUGCCUCGGCAGAAAGAAAUGUCCUUGCAGACAAGAUUUGAACAUCGGCCCUGUCUUCUGUGCCUCCAGGGCUGAGAGGGAAGUGACCAAAAUGGAAAACUGCGGUCAGAUGGAUUCACAAGGCUUCGUCUUCACAUCACACCAGGACAGAAGCAGGGCUUGACUCUGCGUUCUUCCGAUGCUGUGGCCACAGGUCUGGACAAAGAUUCCUCAAACACGGUGGCCUGGUGGUGGCUCCCAUCUUCCUUGUAUCGGUGAAUCAUAAGGGACAAACUAAGGGCACAGUGCGCCGGGGAUGGAAGGCUGAGGAAACAGGCGCGGCCACGCUGAGUGAGGACCGGAAGGAGAGCUGUUGCACAUGCUGGGUGUUUUCUCCUUUCUGUUAGGAUGUGCCCUACUUCACCCCAUCUGUCUCUAGAGGUUAUCUUUCUCCACUUUGCAUUGUUCUUCAGAAGAAACACGGGAAACACAGGAAGACAUGCCCUAGGACAGCUGGUUUCCCUUCACGGCUCUGGAAGUACUGGCGCUGGCAACAUUUUUAAAGCUUAGGAAUCAGACUAACCCAGAAGAUAAGGAGCAUUAAUGAAGUCACUCAUGGAUACAAUAAACACUCAACAGGGAGUUAUUUACUCCACCUCAGAUUAAAAAUUUGAAAUCUUACUUGUCAGUAAAAUAAAUUUCCUCCUGACACUCAUCUGCUCUAGAACCCACCCUCUUUUGACCCCUUGUAAUUCCAAGGUGAGCAAUGUCUGGGCGUUGUGGUGGCCACUUUUCCUUCUUCCUCUUCUCUCUUCUGCUUAGCUG